UAUUUUAAAGAGAGUUUGAUCCUGGCUCAGGACGAACGCUGGCGGCGUGCCUAAUACAUGCAAGUCGAACGAACGGAGGAAGAGCUUGCUCUUCCAAAGUUAGUGGCGGACGGGUGAGUAACACGUGGGCAACCUGCCUGUAAGUUGGGGAUAACUCCGGGAAACCGGGGCUAAUACCGAAUGAUAAAAGUGUGGCGCAUGCCACGCUUUUGAAAGAUGGUUUCGGCUAUCGCUUACAGAUGGGCCCGCGGUGCAUUAGCUAGUUGGUAGGGUAAUGGCCUACCAAGGCAACGAUGCAUAGCCGACCUGAGAGGGUGAUCGGCCACACUGGGACUGAGACACGGCCCAGACUCCUACGGGAGGCAGCAGUAGGGAAUCUUCCGCAAUGGACGAAAGUCUGACGGAGCAACGCCGCGUGUAUGAAGAAGGUUUUCGGAUCGUAAAGUACUGUUGUUAGAGAAGAACAAGGAUAAGAGUAACUGCUUGUCCC
Molecule: ribosomal RNA, 490 nt
Filed under: Listeria monocytogenes
Lineage: Bacteria; Bacillati; Bacillota; Bacilli; Caryophanales; Listeriaceae
Description: bacterial SSU rRNA
Rfam family: Bacterial small subunit ribosomal RNA
Source: RNAcentral